UCCCCGGUGGUCCAGUGGUUAAGACUCCAUGCUCCCCAUGCAGGGGGCCCAGGUUCAAUCCCUGGUCAGGGAA
This 73-nucleotide transfer RNA is filed under the name Bos taurus (domestic cattle). It matches the Rfam family "tRNA". Rfam says of the family: Transfer RNA (tRNA) molecules are approximately 80 nucleotides in length. Their secondary structure includes four short double-helical elements and three loops (D, anti-codon, and T loops). RNAcentral also lists the same sequence under 1 other name. Lineage: Eukaryota; Metazoa; Chordata; Mammalia; Artiodactyla; Bovidae. The record is from Rfam by way of RNAcentral.